RNAcentral lists this ribosomal RNA (465 nucleotides) under Vreelandella stevensii. Its description in RNAcentral is "partial 16S ribosomal RNA". It matches the Rfam family "Bacterial small subunit ribosomal RNA", at positions 338 to 795 of the family's 1533-position model. The record is from RNAcentral. Lineage: Bacteria; Pseudomonadati; Pseudomonadota; Gammaproteobacteria; Oceanospirillales; Halomonadaceae.
CCUACGGGAGGCAGCAGUGGGGAAUAUUGGACAAUGGGGGCAACCCUGAUCCAGCCAUGCCGCGUGUGUGAAGAAGGCCCUCGGGUUGUAAAGCACUUUCAGUGAGGAAGAACGCCUGGUGGUUAAUACCCAUCAGGAAAGACAUCACUCACAGAAGAAGCACCGGCUAACUCCGUGCCAGCAGCCGCGGUAAUACGGAGGGUGCGAGCGUUAAUCGGAAUUACUGGGCGUAAAGCGCGCGUAGGUGGCUUGAUAAGCCGGUUGUGAAAGCCCCGGGCUCAACCUGGGAACGGCAUCCGGAACUGUCAAGCUAGAGUGCAGGAGAGGAAGGUAGAAUUCCCGGUGAAGCGGUGAAAUGCGUAGAGAUCGGGAGGAAUACCAGUGGCGAAGGCGGCCUUCUGGACUGACACUGACACUGAGGUGCGAAAGCGUGGGUAGCAAACAGGAUUAGAUACCCCAGUAGUC